Molecule: ribosomal RNA, 407 nt
Filed under: uncultured Acidothermus sp.
Lineage: Bacteria; Bacillati; Actinomycetota; Actinomycetes; Acidothermales; Acidothermaceae
Description: bacterial SSU rRNA
Rfam family: Bacterial small subunit ribosomal RNA
Source: RNAcentral
UGGGGAAUAUUGCGCAAUGGGGGAAACCCUGACGCAGCGACGCCGCGUGCGGGAUGAAGGCCUUCGGGUUGUAAACCGCUUUCAGCAGGGACGAAGCGGAAGUGACGGUACCUGCAGAAGAAGCGCCGGCUAACUACGUGCCAGCAGCCGCGGUAACACGUAGGGCGCGAGCGUUGUCCGGAAUUAUUGGGCGUAAAGAGCUCGUAGGCGGCCUGUUGCGUCCGCUGUGAAAGCCCGGGGCUUAACCCCGGGUCGGCAGUGGAUACGGGCAGGCUAGAGGUAGGUAGGGGAGAAUGGAAUUCCCGGUGUAGCGGUGAAAUGCGCAGAUAUCGGGAGGAACACCGGUGGCGAAGGCGGUUCUCUGGGCCUUACCUGACGCUGAGGAGCGAAAGCGUGGGGAGCGAACA